CCUACGGGAGGCAGCAGUGGGGAAUAUUGCACAAUGGGGGAAACCCUGAUGCAGCGACGCCGCGUGAAGGAUGAAGUAUUUCGGUAUGUAAACUUCUAUCAGCAGGGAAGAAAAUGACGGUACCUGACUAAGAAGCCCCGGCUAACUACGUGCCAGCAGCCGCGGUAAUACGUAGGGGGCAAGCGUUAUCCGGAUUUACUGGGUGGAAAGGGAGCGUAGACGGUAUGGCAAGUCUGAUGUGAAAACCCGGGGCUCAACCCCGGGACUGCAUUGGAAACUGCCGAACUAGAGUGUCGGAGAGGCGAGUGGAAUUCCUAGUGUAGCGGUGAAAUGCGUAGAUAUUAGGAGGAACACCAGUGGCGAAGGCGGUCUGCUGGACAGCAACUGACGCUGAGGCGCGAAAGCGUGGGGAGCAAACAGGAUUAGAUACCCGUGUAGUC
Molecule: ribosomal RNA, 440 nt
Filed under: uncultured bacterium
Lineage: Bacteria
Description: partial 16S ribosomal RNA
Rfam family: Bacterial small subunit ribosomal RNA
Source: RNAcentral